AUGAACGCUGGCGGCGUGCCUAAUACAUGCAAGUCGAGCGAACAGAUAAGGGGCUUGCUCCUUUGACGUUAGCGGCGGACGGGUGAGUAACACGUGGGUAACCUACCUAUAAGACUGGGACAACUUCGGGAAACCGGAGCUAAUACCGGAUAAUAUGUUGAACCGCAUGGUUCAAUAGUGAAAGAUGGUUUUGCUAUCACUUAUAGAUGGACCCGCGCCGUAUUAGCUAGUUGGUGAGGUAACGGCUCACCAAGGCAACGAUACGUAGCCG
This 271-nucleotide ribosomal RNA is filed under the name uncultured bacterium. Its description in RNAcentral is "partial 16S ribosomal RNA". It matches the Rfam family "Bacterial small subunit ribosomal RNA", at positions 29 to 289 of the family's 1533-position model. The record is from RNAcentral.